This 317-nucleotide ribosomal RNA is filed under the name Acinetobacter baumannii. Its description in RNAcentral is "partial 16S ribosomal RNA". It matches the Rfam family "Bacterial small subunit ribosomal RNA", at positions 1227 to 1533 of the family's 1533-position model. The record is from RNAcentral. Lineage: Bacteria; Pseudomonadati; Pseudomonadota; Gammaproteobacteria; Moraxellales; Moraxellaceae.
ACAAUGGCAUAUACAAAGAGAAGCGACCUCGCGAGAGCAAGCGGACCUCAUAAAGUAUGUCGUAGUCCGGAUUGGAGUCUGCAACUCGACUCCAUGAAGUCGGAAUCGCUAGUAAUCGUAGAUCAGAAUGCUACGGUGAAUACGUUCCCGGGCCUUGUACACACCGCCCGUCACACCAUGGGAGUGGGUUGCAAAAGAAGUAGGUAGCUUAACCUUCGGGAGGGCGCUUACCACUUUGUGAUUCAUGACUGGGGUGAAGUCGUAACAAGGUAGCCGUAGGGGAACCUGCGGCUGGAUCACCUCCUUACCUUAAAGAA